RNAcentral lists this unclassified non-coding RNA (397 nucleotides) under fungal sp. RNAcentral describes it as "partial internal transcribed spacer region". The stretch from base 1 to 46 matches the Rfam family "Eukaryotic small subunit ribosomal RNA", at positions 1786 to 1831 of the family's 1831-position model. Lineage: Eukaryota; Fungi. The record is from RNAcentral.
AAGUCGUAACAAGGUUUCCGUAGGUGAACCUGCGGAAGGAUCAUUAUCAAUUAAACAUAGCAAGUUAGUUUGGCUAAUAUUUUUAGCCUUGCUAGCUUGUCUAUAAACACUUGUGAACCAUUUCAUUGACAGAGUAUUGGUUGCUAAACAAAACAUUUUGCCAAUGAUUUGUUAGCUGACUUGUAAGAAAUUACUUUGUCAAAGGAUAACCUUUUUGGAGGGUAUUUGCUUUAACUUGGCGUGGGUCAAUUGAAGUUGAAAAAAUACUAAACUGAACUUGGCGUGGGUCAAUUCAUUAUGAGUUAUUCUUUGAUUAGAAGUAAUAGACGACUAGUGACGACUCUUUAUUGUUAUUAAUAAAGUGUCAGGCCAAUAGCUUCCGUCGCCCUUGGCUCCU